UAUAAAGGUUGAGGAUGAACACGGAUGCGGCCACUUUCAUUUUUGACAAAAACUAUCUGAAAAGUGACCUCUUUUGGCAUAUUUGAUAGAUUCUUCAUAUUUAAGCUUGAAUCGGAGCGUUUUUAAUGACUAAAUCAGUUAAAAUCUUUUACUUAAACUAAUUGAAUCAGUUGAAAUAGACACUUAAGUGUUUAAAAAGUGUCCAAAAUCUUUCGUUCGAUGAACCUGAAAUUUGAGGCCAAAAUCGGCCCUUACCGGACCUACUCCUUU
RNAcentral lists this long non-coding RNA (270 nucleotides) under Mytilus galloprovincialis (Mediterranean mussel). Lineage: Eukaryota; Metazoa; Mollusca; Bivalvia; Mytilida; Mytilidae. The record is from RNAcentral.